Molecule: ribosomal RNA, 480 nt
Filed under: uncultured bacterium
Lineage: Bacteria
Description: partial 16S ribosomal RNA
Rfam family: Bacterial small subunit ribosomal RNA
Source: RNAcentral
GACGAACGCUGGCGGCGCGCUUAACACAUGCAAGUCGAGCGAUGAAGCUUUAACAGAACCCUUCGGGUCGAGGAGAAAGCGGAUUAGCGGCGGACGGGUGAGUAACACGUGAGUAACCGGCCAUAGACAUUGAGAUAGCCUCGUAAAACCGGGAUUAGUAGCAAAUAAAAUCAUAAUGGCACAUGUCAUAACGAUCAAAACUCCGGGGGUGUAAGAUGGACUCGCGUCCCAUUAGCUAGUUGGUAGAUUAAAAGCAUCCCAAGGCGACGAUGGGUAGCCGGCAUGAGAGGGGGGACGGCGACCUUGGAACUGAGAAACGGUGCAAACUCCUACGGGAGGCAGCAGUGGGGAAUAUUGCACAACGGAGGGGACUCUGAUGCAGCGACGCUGCGGGAACGAAGAAGUGUUUCGAGUCGUAAAGUUCUUUUAUAUGGGAAGAUAAUGACGGUACCAUAAGAAAAAGCCCCGGCUAACUACGUG